RNAcentral lists this ribosomal RNA (253 nucleotides) under uncultured bacterium. RNAcentral's name for it is "partial 16S ribosomal RNA". It matches the Rfam family "Bacterial small subunit ribosomal RNA", at positions 524 to 776 of the family's 1533-position model. The record is from RNAcentral.
UACAGAGACUGCGAGCGUUAUUCGGAUUCACUGGGCGUAAAGGGUGCGCAGGUGGCCAAGUGUGUUAGGCGUGAAAGCCCGGGGCUUAACCCCGGAAUUGCACCUAAAACUACCUGGCUAGAGCAUUGGAGAGGGGAGCAGAAUUCAUGGUGUAGCAGUGAAAUGCGUAGAUAUCAUGAGGAAUACCAGAGGCGAAGGCGGCUCCCUGGACAAUUGCUGACACUCAGGCACGAAAGCGUGGGGAGCAAACAGG